Ictalurus punctatus (channel catfish) is the source of this 2342-nucleotide long non-coding RNA. Lineage: Eukaryota; Metazoa; Chordata; Actinopteri; Siluriformes; Ictaluridae. The record is from Ensembl.
CUUAAAACAUUUUGCUGCCUGAGAAAUCCCUCUAUCAAGUAUGACGAAAUUAUACCAAAUAUAAAUUUAAAGCUGUUCAAAGGAUAAACAACGAGUUUGUAGUCCUUUAUUAAAGCAAAGGAAGGAUUAGAGAAUAUUAAUAAUCACAUUAAGAAACUUGUGACCUGGUUCAAUCCUGAGCUCGGGUUACCGUGUGUGUAGAGUCCCCCAUGUUCUCGGUGUGUCCGUACGGGUUCCCUUCAAUUCUCUGCUUUCCUCCUAUCUCCAAAACAACAUGGACGUAUGCAGACUGACGAUGUUAAAUUACCCCUGGGUGUGAGUGGGUGUGUGAAUGUGUGGCCUUGGACCGGCGUUCCAUCCAGGGUGUAUUCCCACCUCACACAAAGUGUUUGUAGGAUAGACUCCGCCUCCACCAGGAUAAAGCAGAUCCUGAGGAUGAAUGAAUGAAAACUCUAAAGAUCACACUACAUAAAUCUACUUCAUUCCCAGUGUUCCUGGGAUAAGGAUCUGGAUCCAGCGAUAUCCUGACCAGGAUGAAGUGCUUGCUGAAAAUGAAUGAAUGAAUAAAUGACUGGCGUCUCAUUUAAGGAGCGAGACGGCGAGAGAUGACUCCAGACUUAUGAAUGACUCUAUGAAGCCAGAGUUCGGAGUGAGUCAAACUUCCUCAGCUUGUUCGCCAAAAACAAAAAAAAAAGACCAUGUACACAAUGAAUUUGGACACUUUUGUAUAAGCAAGCAUGACCUAGAAAAAAAAAACAGAUAGUACAGUGCGACGAGAAGGAAGAAAGUUUGUGCUGCUCUUGAUGAUCGAAGAGCGACUCCAGGAGACGGGAGAGAUCUUCGAGAAGACUUGGACGGAGAGAAGAAAACUGAGAGGGAGAAAAGGCGCUGAUUGACGUACUUGCUCACAGUGACUCAGUGAGUGGAUGGAGGACCGUGAAAGUUCAUGUUGGGAAUAGUAUGAUGCGAGUGAAGAGGGGGCCGCAGCCGUUCUGUCUCCUACCACACAGCAUACGGACCGGCAUGUGCACUCGCACGUCACUCCGCUGGCCACGGCAACCGCCGUAGAAACGGCCUCCACUCAUCCCUGCCGCGUGUCCUCCUCCUUCUCCUUCGUCCUGCACUUCGCUAAUAGAAACACAUGAAAGACGUGCGUUAAAAAAACAAAACGAAAAAAAAAGCACACAAUUCAGAGAGAAAUCACAGGUACGCAAUUAGUCGAUUAACCAUGCGAGACAUAGUUGACAUAAUUGUAUGAUGCUAAUCGCCGUACAAGGAAGGAACUCUACCUGUUCUGUAAAUAAGUUAACAUAUAUUUGCCUCAAAUGUCAAGAAUGCUACAUAUUUUACACGUAUUUAAAGAGCGGGGGUUGACAGAUCGCUAGCUCGGCUAAUCGGGACAGGUAGAUUAUAUAUUACAUAUCCAAGCUAAUCGACGAAAAUGUUUAUCUGAUGUGUAGAGAAAAAAAAAAUACAGAACCAGAAUGAUUAUAGAACGAUGUUUUUAGCUUUAGCUAUAUAGUUAGAAAGGCUAACUCGGUAUCCGCUAUAAUGUUGUGAUGAACCAAAGAGUUUUGAAUGCUCUGGUAUGUUUGAAAAACGGCUAAGAAGGUGAGAAUGCAAGCUGAGAUUAAGAUACUGAAAUUCCAGGUAGCUAUCGCUAGUAUUUAGCCAGCUAGUUGUGCUUAUGUUUGCUCAUGACAUAGAUUAUAUAGAGCGGAAGAGCAAGAAAUAGCAUAAACGUGAUAAAGCUCUUUGUGCGAAACUAUGCUGCGUUCAACAUCAUUUAUCAACCUCGGUGUGAGGGGAAACAAGCCUGAAUGCGGCAGUGUUUGUGUUAUGUUAGCAACACGCUAGUCAGCGAGCUAGCUGAUGAGUGAUGUCUGUUUUUUUUCCUCCUCAAAACGGUGAACUGUGUAGUCAGUGUUAUAGAUUUAACGAGCGAAUACGUCUGUAGGUCGAUAGCUCUAAAGCAAGUAUUUGUUUAUACACCCUGAUGAAAAAAACAAUAGAAACCAUUAAUGAAAUCCUAAUGGUUUCCUCUACAAAUACCAUUACAAAAAAUAAGCUAACCAUUUAAAAGCAUUACCCUUACUGUACCAUUAUUUGUCCUUAAUGGUGUCCACUAGACAUGCUAUGCACCACCAAUAAAGCAACAAAUUACCAGUAGAGACCCACAGGGACCAUUACAGUUUCCGUUAAAACCAGUACAAUUCCCAUUAUAACCAUUAAAUCCAUUAUAAAUUCUAUGAGGGUAUUUAUUGGGGUUUGUUUUUUUCUUUCUUUUCUUUAGUAUAACUCCUUGAAUGGAAGAAGUGCUAUUUUGUUUGCUGUUGAUGCUG